GACGAACGCUGGCGGCGUGCUUAACACAUGCAAGUCGAGCGGUAAGGCCCUUUCGGGGGUACACGAGCGGCGAACGGGUGAGUAACACGUGGGUGACCUGCCCUCAGCUCUGGGAUAAGCCUGGGAAACUGGGUCUAAUACUGGAUAUGACUCCACGGUGCAUGUCGUGGGGUGGAAAGCCUUGUGCGGCUGAGGAUGGGCCCGCGGCCUAUCAGCUUGUUGGUGGGGUGANGGGCCUACCAAGGCGACGACGGGUAGCCGGCCUGAGAGGGCGACCGGCCAUACUGGGACUGAGACACGGCCCAGACUCCUACGGGAGGCAGCAGUGGGGAAUCUUGCGCAAUGGGCGAAAGCCUGACGCAGCGACGCCGCGUGAGGGAUGACGGCCU
RNAcentral lists this ribosomal RNA (389 nucleotides) under uncultured bacterium. RNAcentral describes it as "bacterial SSU rRNA". It matches the Rfam family "Bacterial small subunit ribosomal RNA", at positions 28 to 417 of the family's 1533-position model. The record is from RNAcentral.